RNAcentral lists this long non-coding RNA (212 nucleotides) under Elaeis guineensis (African oil palm). RNAcentral's name for it is "long non-coding RNA (EGUI_LNC021008)". Lineage: Eukaryota; Viridiplantae; Streptophyta; Magnoliopsida; Arecales; Arecaceae. The record is from RNAcentral.
UCCAAAUCACAUUAGAAAAUUGCUUAGUGAGUCUUAAAGAGAAAGGGAAAGGGUUCUUAAUCCUCACUGCUGUCUCUUUCCUUCCUUCCAAGCAACCUCAGUCCCUGCCUUGUUCACAUACUUAAAUUAAUAUAACUUCUAAUGUAUUGAGAAAGAUACUUUAAAUUUAGCUCAUUAUAGGUGGAAUGCUCGAUCACUCCUAGAAAGGACAA